GACGAACGCUGGCGGCGUGCUUAACACAUGCAAGUCGAACGGAAAGGCCUUUUCGGAGGUACUCGAGUGGCGAACGGGUGAGUAACACGUGGGUGAUCUGCCCUGCACUCUGGGAUAAGCCUGGGAAACUGGGUCUAAUACCGGAUAGGACCGCACUUUAGUGUGUGUGGUGGAAAGUUUUUUCGGUGUAGGAUGAGCCCGCGGCCUAUCAGCUUGUUGGUGGGGUAAUGGCCUACCAAGGCGGCGACGGGUAGCCGGACUGAGAGGUUGGUCGGCCACAUUGGGACUGAGAUACGGCCCAGACUCCGACGGGAGGCAGCAGGGGGGAAUAUUGCACAAUGGGCGCAAGCCUGAUGCAGCGACGCCGCGUGGGGGAGGACGGCCUUCGGGUUGGAAACUCCUUUCGCCAGGGACGAAGCGUUUUGUGACGGUACCUGGAGAAGAAGCACCGGCUAACUACGUG
RNAcentral lists this ribosomal RNA (463 nucleotides) under uncultured bacterium. RNAcentral describes it as "partial 16S ribosomal RNA". It matches the Rfam family "Bacterial small subunit ribosomal RNA", at positions 28 to 507 of the family's 1533-position model. The record is from RNAcentral.